RNAcentral lists this ribosomal RNA (875 nucleotides) under uncultured archaeon. RNAcentral describes it as "bacterial SSU rRNA". It matches the Rfam family "Archaeal small subunit ribosomal RNA", at positions 31 to 913 of the family's 1478-position model. The record is from RNAcentral.
UAUCGGAUUGAUACUAAGCCAUGCGAGUCAUUGCAGUAAUGCAAGGCAGACGGCUCAGUAACGCGUAGUCAACCUACCCUAUGGACGGGAAUAACCUCGGGAAACUGAGUAUAAUGCCCGAUAGAACACUAUGCCUGGAAUGGUUUGUGUUCCAAAUGAAUGUCGCCGUAGGAUGGGACUGCGGCCUAUCAGUUUGUUGGUGAGGUAAUGGCCCACCAAGACUAUUACAGGUACGGGCUCUGAGAGGAGUAGCCCGGAGAUGGGUACUGAGACACGGACCCAGGCCCUAUGGGGCGCAGCAGGCGAGAAAACUUUGCAAUGUGCGAAAGCACGACAAGGUUAAUCCGAGUGGUUUGUGCUAAACGAACCUUUUGACAGUCCUAGAAACACUGUUGAAUAAGGGGUGGGCAAGUUCUGGUGUCAGCCGCCGCGGUAAAACCAGCACCUCAAGUGGUCAGGAUGAUUAUUGGGCCUAAAGCAUCCGUAGCCGGCUCUGUAAGUUUUCGGUUAAAUCUGUACGCUCAACGUACAGGCUGCCGGGAAUACUGCAGAGCUAGGGAGUGGGAGAGGUAGACGGUACUCGGUAGGAAGGGGUAAAAUCCUUUGAUCUAUUGAUGACCACCUGUGGCGAAGGCGGUCUACCAGAACACGUCCGACGGUGAGGGAUGAAAGCUGGGGGAGCAAACCGGAUUAGAUACCCGGGUAGUCCCAGCUGUAAACUAUGCAAACUCAGUGAUGCAUUGGCUUGUGGCCAAUGCAGUGCUGCAGGGAAGCCGUUAAGUUUGCCGCCUGGGAAGUACGUACGCAAGUAUGAAACUUAAAGGAAUUGGCGGGGGAGCACCACAAGGGGUGAAGCCUGCGGUUCAAUUGGAGUC